GGAUAACCUACCCUUAGGACCGGGAUAACCUUGGGAAACUGAGGAUAAUACUGGAUAGGCAAUUAUUCCUGGAAUGGUUUUUUGUUUAAAUGUUUUUUCGCCUAAGGAUGGGUCUGCGGCCGAUUAGGUAGUUGGUUAGGUAACGGCUUACCAAGCCAUUGAUCGGUACGGGUUGUGAGAGCAAGAGCCCGGAGAUGGAACCUGAGACAAGGUUCCAGGCCCUACGGGGUGCAGCAGGCGCGAAACCUCCGCAAUGUGAGAAAUCGCGACGGGGGGAUCCCAAGUGCCAUUCUUAACGGGAUGGCUUUUCAUUAGUGUAAAGAGCUUUUGGAAUAAGGGCUGGGCAAGACCGGUGCCAGCCGCCGCGGUAACACCGGCAGCUCUAGUGGUAGCAGUUUUUAUUGGGCCUAAAGCGUCCGUAGCCGGUUUAAUAAGUCUCUGGUGAAAUCCUGUAGCUUAACUGUGGGAAUUGCUGGAGAUACUAUUAGACUUGAGACCGGGAGAGGUUAGAGGUACUCCCAGGGUAGAGGUGAAAUUCUGUAAUCCUGGGAGGACCGCCUGUUGCGAAGGCGUCUAACUGGAACGGUUCUGACGGUGAGGGACGAAAGUUAGGGGCGCGAACCGGAUUAGAUACCCGGGUAGUCCUAACCGUAAACGAUGCGGACUUGGUGUUGGGGUGGCUUUGAGCUGCUCCAGUGCC
Molecule: ribosomal RNA, 700 nt
Filed under: uncultured archaeon
Lineage: Archaea
Description: bacterial SSU rRNA
Rfam family: Archaeal small subunit ribosomal RNA
Source: RNAcentral